UCAGCAGGACGUUCUAUCGUUCUUUGGAUCCCGGCAACGGGGUAAAAAGAAAGGAAAGUCCGGGCAGCACAGAGCGCCAUACUUUCGGGAGAAAGAUAUCCGUGAGGGUAUAGUAGCGGAGAAGAAAAUAACCGCCCCGUACUGAUUCGUCGGAAGGGGUAAGGGUGAGAAGGUGAGGUAAGAUCUCACCGGUGCCGGUGGUGACACCGGAGGCCGUCCGCCUUUUGGGCUGAAAGACCAUGUAUACCGGCUGUCAAGGGUUGCUCGCCCGAUGCCGGGGGGUAGGUCGAUCAGAUAAAUGAUAGAGAUCCCGGACCCGGCCCUACUGGGGACGAUCGGGAUACAGAACCCGGCUUACAGACCUGCUGGAGAA
This 373-nucleotide RNase P RNA is filed under the name Bacteroides sp. SM23_62. Its description in RNAcentral is "bacterial RNase P". It matches the Rfam family "Bacterial RNase P class A". Rfam says of the family: Ribonuclease P (RNase P) is a ubiquitous endoribonuclease, found in archaea, bacteria and eukarya as well as chloroplasts and mitochondria. Its best characterised activity is the generation of mature 5'-ends of tRNAs by cleaving the 5'-leader elements of precursor-tRNAs. Lineage: Bacteria; Pseudomonadati; Bacteroidota; Bacteroidia; Bacteroidales; Bacteroidaceae. The record is from RNAcentral.